AGGUGGGAGGAUUGCUUGAGCCUGGGAGGUGGAGGUUGCAGUGAGCCCAGAUCAUGCCACUGCACUCCAGCCUGGGCAACAGAGU
MicroRNA precursor from Mandrillus leucophaeus (drill), 85 nucleotides. Lineage: Eukaryota; Metazoa; Chordata; Mammalia; Primates; Cercopithecidae. The record is from Ensembl.